CUCGGAGUUUGAUCCUGGCUCAGAUUGAACGCUGGCGGAAUGCUUUACACAUGCAAGUCGAACGGUAGAGGGGGCAACCCCUUGAGAGUGGCGAACGGGUGAGUAAUAUAUCGGAACGUGCCCAGUCGUGGGGGAUAACGUAGCGAAAGUUACGCUAAUACCGCGAUACGAUCUAAGGAUGAAAGCGGGGGACCGUAAGGCCUCGCGCGAUUGGAGCGGCCGAUAUCAGAUUAGGUAGUUGGUGGGGUAAAGGCUCACCAAGCCAACGAUCUGUAGCUGGUCUGAGAGGACGACCAGCCACACUGGAACUGAGACACGGUCCAGACU
RNAcentral lists this ribosomal RNA (327 nucleotides) under uncultured Comamonadaceae bacterium. RNAcentral describes it as "bacterial SSU rRNA". It matches the Rfam family "Bacterial small subunit ribosomal RNA", at positions 1 to 337 of the family's 1533-position model. Lineage: Bacteria; Pseudomonadati; Pseudomonadota; Betaproteobacteria; Burkholderiales; Comamonadaceae. The record is from RNAcentral.